CAAGUCGAGCGAACCCUUCGGGGUGAGCGGCGGACGGGAUGAGUAACGCGCUGGGUUAACCUACCCUAUACACACGGAUAACGUACCGAAAGGUACGCUAAUACGAGAUAAUAUUGUUGGAUGGCAUCAUCUAAUAAUCAAAGCUCCGGCGGUAUAGGAUGGACCCGCGUCUGAUUAGCUAGUUGGUGAGGUAAUGGCUCACCAAGGCGACGAUCAGUAGCCGACCUGAGAGGGUGAUCGGCCACACUGGAACUGAGACACGGUCCAACUCCUACGGGAGGCAGCAGUGGGGAAUAUUGCACAAUGGGCGAAAGCCUGAUGCAGCAACGCCGCGUGAGUGAUGAAGGUCUUCGGAUCGUAAAGCUCUGUCCUCAAGGAAGAUAAUGACGGUACUUGAGGAGGAAGCCCCGGCUAACUACGUGCCAGCAGCCGCGGUAAUACGUAGGGGGCUAGCGUUAUCCGGAAUUACUGGGCGUAAAGGGUGCGUAGGCGGUCUUUCAAGCCAGAAGUGAAAGGCUACGGCUCAACCGUAGUAAGCUUUUGGAACUGUAAGACUUGAGUGCAGGAGAGGAGAGUGGAAUUCCUAGUGUAGCGGUGAAAUGCGUAGAUAUUAGGAGGAACACCAGUUGCGAAGGCGGCUCUCUGGACUGUAACUGACGCUGAGGCACGAAAGCGUGGGGAGCAAACAGGAUUAGAUACCCUGGUAGUCCACGCCGUAAACGAUGAGUACUAGGUGUCGGGGGUUACCCCCCUCGGUGCCGCAGCUAACGCAUUAAGUACUCCGCCUGGGAAGUACGCUCGCAAAGAGUGAAACUCAAAGGAAUUGACGGGGACCC
This 836-nucleotide ribosomal RNA is filed under the name uncultured bacterium. Its description in RNAcentral is "bacterial SSU rRNA". It matches the Rfam family "Bacterial small subunit ribosomal RNA", at positions 58 to 922 of the family's 1533-position model. The record is from RNAcentral.